This is a long non-coding RNA of Myiozetetes cayanensis, 317 nucleotides long. RefSeq lists it as uncharacterized. NCBI's taxonomy places the organism in Eukaryota, Metazoa, Chordata, Aves, Passeriformes, Tyrannidae. The record is from RefSeq and is a predicted model, not a curated record. The transcript has 3 exons.
AGGAUCUGCACGUAGUGGUCAUUUCAAACAGUGGCUUUAACACGGUUGCUGCAAAGGAGGUGCUUAAGACCACCUCUGCAAAGCUUCUUUGCACAAUUCAGAUGACAUCAGCAGUAAUAAACACAACUGAUGAAGACAGUUUAACAACUGUUAUGCAACACUGAACCAUGCAAAGGAACCAGGGCAGCUGGAUCAGUUAAGAAAAAGUCAAUGGUGGUGCAGAUGGUGAUGACAGCUCAUACAGAAAUGCUGCUAGAUUUCUAACCAUUGCCUCAAAACACUGAUUUCAAACUGCAGGGCUGUAAUGACAACAUAAA